Molecule: unclassified non-coding RNA, 307 nt
Organism: Chlorocebus sabaeus (green monkey)
Lineage: Eukaryota; Metazoa; Chordata; Mammalia; Primates; Cercopithecidae
Rfam family: Metazoan signal recognition particle RNA
About the family: The signal recognition particle (SRP) is a universally conserved ribonucleoprotein. It is involved in the co-translational targeting of proteins to membranes. The eukaryotic SRP consists of a 300-nucleotide 7S RNA and six proteins: SRPs 72, 68, 54, 19, 14, and 9.
Source: Ensembl
GCCAGGCGGUGGAGGCCCACCUGUAGUCUUAGCUACUCAGGAGACUGAGGCAGUGGGAUCCCUUAUGCCCAGGAGUUCUGGGCUAUAGUGUGCUAUGCCCAUCAGGUGUCUGCACUAAAUUCAGCAUCAAUAUGGUGACCUCCCAGGAGCAGGGGACCACCAGGUUACCUAAAGAGGAGUGAACCAAUCUAGGUCAGAAACAGAGCAGGUCAAAACUUCCAUGCUGAUCAGUAGUGAGAUCACACCCGUGAAUGACCAGUGUUAAAGUGCUCUAUAGUCUGGGCAACAUAGUGAGACAACCCCCUAU